CAAUAGCGUAUAUUAAAGCUGUUGCGGUUAAAAAGCUCGUAGUUGGAUUUCUGUCAAGGACAACUGGUCCGCCCCUCGGGUGAGCACAUAGUUUGGUCUUGGCAUCUUGUUGGAAGCUGUUGCUGCACUUGGUUGUGUGGCGCAGUGUCCAGCACUUUCACUUUGAGGAAAUUGGAGUGUUUCAAGCAGGCACAUGCCUUUGGACACAGUAGCAUGGAAUAAUUAGAUUGGGCUUUUGCUCCAACUUGUCGGUUUCUGGAGCUGAGGUGAGAAUUAAUGGGGAUUGUUGGGGGCAUCCGAAUUUAGCCGUCAGAGGUGAAAUUCUUGGAUCUGCUAAAGACGGACAACUGCGAAAGCGUUUGCCCAGGAUGUUUUCAUUGA
This 381-nucleotide ribosomal RNA is filed under the name uncultured eukaryote. RNAcentral's name for it is "partial 18S ribosomal RNA". It matches the Rfam family "Eukaryotic small subunit ribosomal RNA", at positions 592 to 976 of the family's 1831-position model. The record is from RNAcentral.